RNAcentral lists this non-coding RNA (150 nucleotides) under Pseudacidovorax sp. RU35E. Lineage: Bacteria; Pseudomonadati; Pseudomonadota; Betaproteobacteria; Burkholderiales; Comamonadaceae. The record is from RNAcentral.
CCGGCCGUUCCGUCGGCCGUAGCCUACCUGUGCAUGCGCUGCUGGUAACGGUGGCGUGUGAAGCCACGGGGACAACGUACCUGGCCCUCGGGCCCCGCUGGCUUCCGCGAGGAAACAGCGUCACCUGCCAGCAUCAAGGCGGAUGGGGUG